UGAAGGAGGAGCUUGCUUCUCUGGAUGAGUUGCGAACGGGUGAGUAACGCGUAGGUAACCUGCCUGGUAGCGGGGGAUAACUAUUGGAAACGAUAGCUAAUACCGCAUAACAGUAGAUAUUGCAUGAUAUCUGCUUGAAAGGUGCAAUUGCAUCACUACCAGAUGGACCUGCGUUGUAUUAGCUAGUUGGUGAGGUAACGGCUCACCAAGGCGACGAUACAUAGCCGACCUGAGAGGGUGAUCGGCCACACUGGGACUGAGAACACGGCCCAGACUCCUACGGGAGGCAGCAGUACGGAAUCUUCGGCAAUGGACGGAAGUCUGACCGAGCAACGCCGCUUGAGUGAAGAAGGUUUUCGGAUCUUAAAGCUCUGUUGUAAGAGAAGAACGAGUGUGAGAGUGGAAAGUUCACACUGUGACGGUAUCUUACCAGAAAGGGACGGCUAACUACGUGCCAGCAGCCGCGGUAAUACGUAGGUCCCGAGCGUUGUCCGGAUUUAUUGGGCGUAAAGCGAGCGCAGGCGGUUAGAUAAGUCUGAAGUUAAAGGCUGUGGCUUAACCAUAGUACGCUUUGGAAACUGUUUAACUUGAGUGCAAGAGGGGAGAGUGGAAUUCCAUGUGUAGCGGUGAAAUGCGUAGAUAUAUGGAGGAACACCGGUGGCGAAAGCGGCUCUCUGGCUUGUAACUGACGCUGAGGCUCGAAAGCGUGGGGAGCAAACAGGAUUAGAUACCCUGGUAGUCCACGCCGUAAACGAUGAGUGCUAGGUGUUAGACCCU
This 777-nucleotide ribosomal RNA is filed under the name uncultured Streptococcus sp. RNAcentral describes it as "bacterial SSU rRNA". It matches the Rfam family "Bacterial small subunit ribosomal RNA", at positions 68 to 831 of the family's 1533-position model. The record is from RNAcentral. Lineage: Bacteria; Bacillati; Bacillota; Bacilli; Lactobacillales; Streptococcaceae.